UACGGGGGGGGCAAGCGUUGUUCGGAAUUACUGGGCGUAAAGGGCUCGUAGGCGGCCAACUAAGUCGGACGUGAAAUCCCCAGGCUCAACCUGGGAACUGCGUCCGAUACUGAUUGGCUUGAAUCCGGGAGAGGGAUGCAGAAUUCCAGGUGUAGCGGUGAAAUGCGUAGAUAUCUGGAGGAAUACCGGUGGCGAAGGCGGCAUCCUGGACCGGCAUUGACGCUGAGUGAGCGAAAGCCAGGGGAGCAAACGGG
RNAcentral lists this ribosomal RNA (254 nucleotides) under uncultured bacterium. RNAcentral describes it as "partial 16S ribosomal RNA". It matches the Rfam family "Bacterial small subunit ribosomal RNA", at positions 524 to 776 of the family's 1533-position model. The record is from RNAcentral.